Rhagoletis pomonella (apple maggot) is the source of this 6378-nucleotide long non-coding RNA. RefSeq lists it as uncharacterized. Lineage: Eukaryota; Metazoa; Arthropoda; Insecta; Diptera; Tephritidae. The record is from RefSeq and is a predicted model, not a curated record. The transcript is spliced from 2 exons.
UGUUACUAUUCCUCUAUAACUCGAAUAUUUGUAAAAAUGUUACAUAUACAUAUGUUUUAAAAUUACUUAAGAAUCCAGUUAACCGUAUACCAAUAUAGGGACUCUUUUAUAAAAACGUAUUUAAUAUUACUUAAUUAAAAAAAUACCAGUUAAUUAAAUAAAUUACUUCUCUACUGCACAGAUUAUUAAAUUUGUCCGAAUAUGUACAUAUGUAUAUGUAAAACCCACUAACUAAAUAGAAAAAGGCUUAGUAAUCGAAAUUUUUCCUGCAAAUUAAAUUGUUUAUAAAUACAUAUUUACAAAAUUUUUUUUGUUUGUAUUAGUAAUUGAACAAGCAUUGAACAAUUUGAAACAAUUGAACAAGUCCAAAGAUAUCAAUUAAUUAAUUGCUCUUCCUUAACUUAAACACUAUUUUCUACUUAACUGUCCAUGUUUCUUCCAACUACCUUUAUCUACCUAAUAGGUAUGUGUGUACUUAGUACAAUAAAAAAACAACAAAUACUUAUAUAAGUACAUACAUAUUAUUAUCUGAUAUCUGAUAUGCUCUAUUUAGUGCUUCCUUUCAAUAUCGCUCCACCUUACUUUCAAACAUAAAAUGCUUUUAAUUAUCCGCUGCGCAUUACAAAAAGACUGAUCUGUUUUAAAUAUUAUUAUUGUUUCCUGUUCCUUUCAUCUAAUAUCUCUAGUGGCACACUUCUUCCCAGACGUAAAUUUAAUUGAGUUCCACUCGGGCAGUGUAUUGAUCUUUCUAGCUAAUAUGCAGCCAUUAUAAAUAGUUUCAUUACAAUGUACUACGCAGUUUUGAAAAUUUAAUCACGAGGAGAUUAUUAUAUUUAAUUCCCGACUUUUCAACAAAAUCGCGUUUGAGAGAAUUAUGGACGUUGGGCUACUAAAGUUCAAGGGAUGGUUAAGACAUCUAGCACUUGAAUGCAACACACUGACAAAGUUAUAACUAGUUUACUUCUGAAGUUCUCUACCAGUGAUGCCCUUUUUCAAUUCUCCAGGGAACAACAAUGGCUGGGUAAUAAUGUAGUUAGAACUGCUUCUUGUACAAUCUACAAUCUACAUACUUUAAUUUAAAGACGAGCAAUUUUCAUAGAUCUGAUGUCAAACUCCUCCUACAAAAGUGGAUAACCGAUCGCAAGUGUUGUUAAUAAUCUUCUAAUCUGCAUAUACUCGUAUCUACUGCAUUUCUAUAAAACUUAUUCCAAGGAACAUCCGCUGGUUGAAUUUUAGAUAAUCGAUUAUGUAUGUCCAGGAAGGAUCGCGUGAAGAUUUUGUACUAGGCUUUAAAAUUGUGGUUUAUACCGACAUACAUACAUGCAGUAUAAAAUGCUAGUGUAAUAUAUAAACCGUAUGUCUGUCAGGGCUAUUAUACACAUUAGACAAGUGUUCAUACAAAGUCUGCAGUUGCAUUUUGCCCACCACUUUAGUAAUGAAGUAUGUAGUGCUGCUCGCAUCAGGUUAAAGAAUCAGUUAUUUCCCAGUGAGAGCAUGAAUAGUGAUAUUUUAUUAAUGACUUGAACUUUUUAAUUUCAUUUGUUCGAUAUUUUCAAUUUUUUAAAGUAGCCCCAUGAAUAUCCUUAAUAUAAAAUUCUUGGAAAAUGCAAAGUUGCCAAAGUGAUGGAAAUAUUAUUAAUUUCUUCUUUUUCAAAAAGAGAUAGGCCCAAAAAUAAAAGUUAACAUUAUUUCUACUACUAAUUACUACAUUGUAUAUGUACAUAUAUACAUAUAAACUACGACUACUAUUUAUUGUACUAUUUUUAUGAAUGCAAUGCAAUGAUGAAGUGCAUUUUAUUGCAACUAUGUAAUUGUAAGCGAUCUUUUAAUGAAUAUGAAUAUGUCACAAAAAAAGACAAGAAAAAUAAAAAUAAAUUGCUGAUAUUUAUAAAUAUUAGUUAUAUAUGUAUAUAGACGUGCAUAUGUACAUACAUACAUACUAUAUAAUAAGCCUCUAGUACAGUCGGUAGCAAAUAAUCCAUUUUAGUAGGGCUAGGCCAAUGUAUUAUAGAGCCUCGCGAAGGGUGAUGAACGGCAUUGCUCAUAAUCUGGAAGGUCUGUUAAAUUCACUAGUUCCUCGCAGGUGCGUCGUUUUGAACAUUCGUUGCGUUGCCUAGAUAACAGCCGUAUUAUUUAUUACCAGGGGCCGAGAACGAGUUUUGGUUUUGGUUUCGUUCAGGCAAGAAUGUUUCCGAAAAAGAACCAAACGGGAAAAAAAGUAUUAAGAAGAAUUUUAACGGGAACAAAUUGAGAACAGAAGACUCGGUAAUGUUUCCGUAAACAACAAACAGAAGACUCGGGGGAACGUUCUCAAGAAGAACAGAAUGAAGACGAAACAUUCAGGAACGUUUUCAAUUAGAACAAAAUUAAAACUAAAGCAUCUAGAACGCUUUCAAGGGGGAUCAGAUAAGAACAAAGCAAGAACAAAAGUUUUGAGAACUUAACGUUAAAAAUGAGAGGGAAGUCUGCGUGUAGCCCAUGAACCAACUAAACAGAUCACCCAGCACGGCAACCGUGUAUUUGUAAUUGCAUUUGAGAAAAAAAUAAAUAAUCGAUGACGUCAUUUCUGAAUAGGUUAUUUCAUUCACACACAUGGUUUCGUUUCUUUUCAUUCACAUGGCGGCGAAAAAAUGACGUCAUUGCAAAAAAAAUACUUUUUUCUCGCACGCCGUCCUGGGUGAUCUUAUUCGUUCGUUUAUGCGUGUAGCCGUUGAAACCCAAUGCCGGCGAAUGGCGAAUUUUUCGCCGCGAAUGUUCGCUGUAAAAAUUAAAACACACUCGUGUAUAUGCGAACGCACACAACCAAAGCAAACGGCGAAGUUUGCUCGAUGACUUUUCGCGACGAUUGAUUGAUUUCUAUCGCCGCUGUCAGCGGCAACCGCGAAAAAAUACAAUGGUGACCAUACCUUAAUAGUUCUUGUAAUUUUUAUUAAAAAAUAAAAUAAUACACAUUAUAUUUUUCUUUCAGAGACUAAUUUCGUAAAGCGUAAGUUAAAUAAUAAGAUAGUUAUAUUUUACUACUGUUUCUAUAUUUUGCUGCUCCCUAUUCGUUGUAAAAGCUUAUUUCGUGAAAUAUGAUCACCUUAUCAGUUGACAGCUUUCUGAAUUGAAUACCGCUCUAUAUGUGUUUCCAUUAAGCGAAUUAGCUGGGCGAAAGUUGGACGUCGACAUCGCUUUGUUGGGCGAAAUUCGCCGUUCGCUGGCAUUGUGUUUCAGCAGUUAGAAUGAAAACUCGUUUACCUAGAGGAAAGCUGGAUCAUUUCAGCUUCAAAAUAGUUUAUUAUUCGGGUGAUAUUUUCAUCUAUGGAAAAAAAUUUUCAUUUUCUAUGCAAGAGAAGUUCGUCUCUUAAGUCUUUCGUUGACUUAAUUUGCAUAAUUAAACCGGCACACAACAAGAAAGAGAUCUAUGCAUUUAACCAGACCCACCUACCGACAUGUAUUUCGACCCGCUGAAUCAGAACCUGAGGUCCAUUUGACUCGUAAACCCUCAAAAUUUCGAGUAAAUUGUGAAUUGUGUGUGGGUUUGGUUAAAAGCGCACACCUCUUUUUGUUUUGUGUGCUGGGGUUUUUUUCGGAUCUUUUUUUAUUUAUUUUAGUAUUUCAAUAUUUAAAACUAACACAGCGCUAUGGAAAAAAUUCGGUUCUCGCUUCGAUCCUUCGCAGAUAGUUCAAAGAAGAUUUGUUCCCGUUUCGUUCUCUGUCAGAACGUCCCUGAGACUUCAAUUCCCCAAAUGGUUUUUCGAGAGAAAGUUUCUUAGACUUUUGUUUUCGUUCGCACUUUGCCAAAUCAAUCCUGAGUCUUUUAUUCCUAUUCUGAGCCCGAAUCGAACGUAACUCGUAUCGAAAUUUGAUUUUGAUAUCACCGCAUUCGAUAGCGAGUGCGCUUCGCCAAUUUAAAUUGCAUUGGUUUGAAAACAGUGGCCAUUUUAUUCCACUCGAUUCGUAACGAGUGAUCACUCGAUAAAGAAUGUUGCGUUCGGGCCCUGUAUUAUUCGCAUUUCCUGCACUUUGGGAACGUUCCCCGGGUUUUCCUCUUAUAUAACUACCGUUGAGAACGUUCUCGACAGUUUUGUUUUCAAUAUACCUUUGGUUCUCGCACCCUGAUUAUACAAUUUCUAGAGAGAAAGCGAAUGCAUGGUAAUCUAGUAGGUGUAAAUUUAUUACUGUUAAUGGCAUCCCAAUAUUAAAUUUAUGAGUUAAUUGCAUUGCUGGUAAUCUGGCGGGUAGGCAGUGGUGAUUGCCGAUGGCGAGUGAAUUCACUAGUGCGCGGUACUAGAGGAAAGUAUUUAAUAUACGAAUAAGUAGGUAUGCAUGUAUAUAAACAAGUAUGUAUGCAUGUACAUAUGUAUGUUUGUUUGAAUCACAUGUGUGUUUAUUAAACUAAUGCAAAAAGAAAAAAAUCACAAGAAAAUAAACCAAAACAUUUUCACUGUGCAAGUCUUAAAGUUAAACCUUAAUUUUUAAUAAACAACCAUAUACAUAUACACAUAUAUAUAUAUAUAUAUAUAUUGUAUACAUGCUAAAAAAUAUAUAUGAAUAAAAACUAAAAAUAAAAUAUCUUUACUAUUCGUAUUUUAAGCGGUUAAGUAAAGUUAUGACUUCAAUUUAAACUCAAGUGACAGCAGCUAUAAAUAUACAUACAUACAUGCAUAUGCCUAGAUAAUAUAGUUAAUGCAAAUGUUUAUAAAUAUACAUAAAAAAUAUGAAGAGAAAAAAAAACUAUAUCUUCUCGUUGGCAUUUGUCGUAUAGCCUUUUUCGCGCCACAUAUGUAUGUAAAUACAUAGCUCCUACUCGCAUACUCGUACAUCCACAAUGGCAUUCACGUCAAAAUCUUUAACUGAACGGUAUUAAAAAUUAAGCAAUUCAAUCUAAAUUCUAUCUCAAAUCUAAAACUAGUUUCGCAUUUUUAAAAACUAUCACAUUUCCUUAGCUAUAAAUAAAACAGCGUGAAUAUCACUCUUAUAUAAAACUUAUUCACCUCAAGCAGUUAAUAGAACCAACGAACGAUAUAGACCGAACAAAUGCAGCUCAAAAACAAAAACAAAAAAUAAUAACUACUAAAAAUAGUUACCAAAUUGUAGAACAGCUGUGGACGGCUAGGUAUUAGAUAAUUUCAAGAAUUUUUCUUGUUUAUAUUUUUUUUGUUGUCCUACCUCUUCUCCUUUAUGUUCUCUGUUAUGCACACUACAUAGAUCUAUUUACGCUGAUGGAUCAAUCAUUUCGAGGUGGUAGAAAUGAGAACGGGUCGGGCUUUGGCAGCGGCCCGGCGGGCUCGGUUCGAAUAUCUUGAAAAGGGCGAAUAAAUCAGCGGAUAAUAUUAUGGCAAAUUAUUGGGAGAUUUAUCCACAAUUCUCCGGAUUGAGCCCCAAGCGAUUAUUUCUGCUUACUAAAUUUAAAGAAAUGGCUCGGGGUAGGGACUUAUUUUUAAGCUUUCGUUAAUGAUUAGCUGAUAGUUAAGCGACGAUCAGUGCUUCUGAAUCAUGGUACGAUCUAAAGUGUCUCUCUAUCGAUCGACAGGGACUACUUUUAAAUCAAGUUGAGUGGGGCCCCAAGACAUAGCGGCAUAGCAGAAAAUUAGAUGGCUGUUUAAUAAUUAGGAUAGUCAGGAUAGCCUUUAGAUCACCUCUCUGGACAGCGAGGGCAAAAGAAGUUAACUGCGGCUCAACGAGCAAUUGAUGGAAACCCUGAUAUGUAAAGUGGCGCAAAGUCUCGAUUCCUUAUGUCGCCAGGGACCUCUGUUUCCGCAGCUCCUUAGAGGACGAUUAAGGUUAAACACCUCGUUUCGUAUUUCAUCAGCACUGCCUGGAAGCUAUCUGAAGUGGAUGUCUGCUGCUUGCGGAACUUAAUUUUGAGCACUCAGCGAUUUUCCUUGCUUACUUUAUUACCAGCAGAUAAUUAUAUACAUAGCUCUUGUAUAAAGCCAGAACACUCGAGUGAUUGCUAGAGCUGUUCACUUGGCAACCUGUUUUAUGAGAAAUAGGCCGAACUUAACUUAUUGUCGGUACGAUUUUUUAAACGCGGAUAGGGUAAAAGCUCUCCCUGCCCAUUACUGAUGUAUGUAUGUAUAUAUUAGAAAAAAUUGUCUUCUAACUUUUAUAAAAAAAGCUCCGCAGAACGUUCCGAGGAUAUACAUACAAAUACUUAAUAGUUAAUUGUUUUUAGAUUCAGGUAGUUUUUAGUUCUUAAAGCUCAGUUAGUCUAGACUUAACUUAAUAUUUUGUGCAACCUGUUCUAUGAGAAAUAGGUCGAACUUAACUUAUCGUAAGAAACUUAAGAGGUGUAGAUUUUAAAUUCUUAAGUACGACCUUACGGAUACUUAGAGCGGUGAGAGAAUUAAGCAUGCCUGAUUUACGCAUUAUAGACGGCGAACUGUUAAA